AUAGCGUAUAUUAAAGUUGUUGCAGUUAAAAAGCUCGUAGUUGAACCUUGGGCCUGGCUGGCCGGUCCGCCUCACCGCGUGCACUGGUCCGGCCGGGCCUUUCCUUCUGGCUAGCCACAUGCCCUUCACUGGGUGUGUCGGGGAACCAGGACUUUUACUUUGAAAAAAUUAGAGUGUUCAAAGCAGGCUUAUGCUCGAAUACAUUAGCAUGGAAUAAUAGAAUAGGACGUGUGGUUCUAUUUUGUUGGUUUCUAGAGCCGCCGUAAUGAUUAAUAGGGACAGUCGGGGGCAUCAGUAUUCAAUUGUCAGAGGUGAAAUUCUUGGAUUUAUUGAAGACUAACUACUG
Molecule: ribosomal RNA, 346 nt
Filed under: uncultured eukaryote
Lineage: Eukaryota
Description: SSU rRNA
Rfam family: Eukaryotic small subunit ribosomal RNA
Source: RNAcentral